Molecule: ribosomal RNA, 232 nt
Filed under: uncultured bacterium
Lineage: Bacteria
Description: partial 16S ribosomal RNA
Rfam family: Bacterial small subunit ribosomal RNA
Source: RNAcentral
CGGACGGGUGAGUAAUGUCUGGGAAACUGCCCGAUGGAGGGGGGUAACUACUGGAAACGGUAGCUAAUACCGCAUAACGUCGCAAGACCAAAGAGGGGGAACUUCGGGCCUCUUGCCAUCGGAUGUGCCCAGAUGGGAUUAGCUAGUAGGUGGGGUAACGGCUCACCUAGGCGACGAUCCCUAGCUGGUCUGAGAGGAUGACCAGCCACACUGGAACUGAGACACGGUCCAG